GAUGAACGCUGGCGGCGUGCCUAAUACAUGCAAGUCGAGCGAACAGACGAGGAGCUUGCUCCUCUGACGUUAGCGGCGGACGGGUGAGUAACACGUGGAUAACCUACCUAUAAGACUGGGAUAACUUCGGGAAACCGGAUCUAAUACCGGAUAAACUGUUGAACCGCAUGGUUCAACAGUGAAAGACGGUGUUGCUGUCACUUAUAGAUGGCUCCGCGCCGCUUUAGCUAGUUGGUAAGGUAACGGCUUACCAAGGCAACGAUGCGUAGCCGACCGGAGAGGGUGAUCGGCACCACUGGAACUGAGACACGGUCCAGACUCCUACGGGAGGCAGCAGUAGGGAAUCGUCCGCAAUGGGCGAAAGCCUGACGGAGCAACGCCGCGUGAGUGAAGAAGGUCUUCGGAUCGUAAAACUCUGUUAUUAGGGAAGAACAAAUGUGUAAGUAACUAUGCACGUCUUGACGGUACCUAAUCAGAAAGCCACGGCUAACUACGUG
RNAcentral lists this ribosomal RNA (497 nucleotides) under uncultured bacterium. RNAcentral describes it as "partial 16S ribosomal RNA". It matches the Rfam family "Bacterial small subunit ribosomal RNA", at positions 28 to 507 of the family's 1533-position model. The record is from RNAcentral.